RNAcentral lists this long non-coding RNA (235 nucleotides) under Coccomyxa subellipsoidea. RNAcentral's name for it is "long non-coding RNA (CSUB_LNC000349)". The record is from RNAcentral. Lineage: Eukaryota; Viridiplantae; Chlorophyta; Trebouxiophyceae; Coccomyxaceae.
UGGCCCAGAGAAGCGCUCAGAGGUGGGGGUCCCCAGCUGGCCAUGGAUGAUCUUCCAGCUGCUCAAUCAGCUACCUUCGUGCACUGCUAGCCGUUUGGCGUUCUGGCAUGUCCCACAGCGUGCUUAGAUGCCUUGGUUUAUCCCAAGGACUUUUCAUUUAGAAUAACCAAUGUCAAUCAUUUGGGUAAUAAGGGGUCCUGCUUUGAAACCUGAGAUCAUAACCAGCCCGUGAAUG